AGAGAUGUGUGAUGACGCAUAUCAAUAAGCGGAGGAAAAGAAACUAACUAGGAUCCCUUAGGUAACGGCGAGUGAAGCGGGAAGAGCUCAAAUUUGAAAUCUUCAAGGUUCUACCUUGACGAAUUGUAGUUUAUAGAAGUGUUUUCUGUUAGUAGAGUGGCAAAAGUUCUUUGGAAUAGGACAUCAUAGAGGGUGAGAAUCCCGUAUUUGGUCAUUCCUCCUAGCGUUGUGAUACACUUUCAACGAGUCGGAUUGUUUGGGAAUGCAGUCCAAAAUGGGUGGUAAAUUUCAUCUAAAGCUAAAUAUUGGCGAGAGACCGAUAGCGAACAAGUACCGUGAGGGAAAGAUGAAAAGAACUUUGAAAAGAGAGUUAAACAGUACGUGAAAUUGUCAAAAGGGAAGCGUUUGACACCAGUGUUGUUUUUCCGAAAAUCAAUUACGAAUGUUUUGUUUUUAAGAAGUUAUGACUUCAUCGGCUUGCUUCUUUCUUUACGAAACUUUCUUAAUGCACUUUUCGGUUAACAAGUCAACAUCAAUUUCUUUUGUUGUAAAAGGGUACGAGGAAGGUGGCUUUCUUUUCGGAGAAAGUGCUUAUAGCCUUGUACCUCUGCAAUCGGAGAGAUUGAGGUCUGCAGCGUAGAUCCUUCGGGGUUAGAUACAUUUGUGCUAAGUUAUAGCUUUUCAUAGACAACUUGUUGACUAUGUUAAGUCUUGUAGCUUACUCGCUUAUGCUAUUUUACCUACGCUUAGGAUGUUGACGAUCAGCUGAGCGCG
This 774-nucleotide ribosomal RNA is filed under the name uncultured Neocallimastigales. RNAcentral describes it as "partial large subunit ribosomal RNA". It matches the Rfam family "Eukaryotic large subunit ribosomal RNA", at positions 23 to 646 of the family's 3401-position model. Lineage: Eukaryota; Fungi; Neocallimastigomycota; Neocallimastigomycetes; Neocallimastigales. The record is from RNAcentral.